RNAcentral lists this ribosomal RNA (1346 nucleotides) under uncultured bacterium. RNAcentral describes it as "partial 16S ribosomal RNA". It matches the Rfam family "Bacterial small subunit ribosomal RNA", at positions 28 to 1381 of the family's 1533-position model. The record is from RNAcentral.
GACGAACGCUGGCGGCGUGCUUAACACAUGCAAGUCGAACGGAAAGGCCCUGCUUUUGUGGGGUGCUCGAGUGGCGAACGGGUGAGUAACACGUGAGUAACCUGCCCUUGACUUUGGGAUAACUUCAGGAAACUGGGGCUAAUACCGGAUAGGAGCUCCUGCUGCAUGGUGGGGGUUGGAAAGUUUCGGCGGUUGGGGAUGGACUCGCGGCUUAUCAGCUUGUUGGUGGGGUAGUGGCUUACCAAGGCUUUGACGGGUAGCCGGCCUGAGAGGGUGACCGGCCACAUUGGGACUGAGAUACGGCCCAGACUCCUACGGGAGGCAGCAGUGGGGAAUAUUGCACAAUGGGCGGAAGCCUGAUGCAGCAACGCCGCGUGCGGGAUGACGGCCUUCGGGUUGUAAACCGCUUUCGCCUGUGACGAAGCGUGAGUGACGGUAAUGGGUAAAGAAGCACCGGCUAACUACGUGCCAGCAGCCGCGGUGAUACGUAGGGUGCGAGCGUUGUCCGGAUUUAUUGGGCGUAAAGGGCUCGUAGGUGGUUGAUCGCGUCGGAAGUGUAAUCUUGGGGCUUAACCCUGAGCGUGCUUUCGAUACGGGUUGACUUGAGGAAGGUAGGGGAGAAUGGAAUUCCUGGUGGAGCGGUGGAAUGCGCAGAUAUCAGGAGGAACACCAGUGGCGAAGGCGGUUCUCUGGGCCUUUCCUGACGCUGAGGAGCGAAAGCGUGGGGAGCGAACAGGCUUAGAUACCCUGGUAGUCCACGCUGUAAACGGUGGGUACUAGGUGUGGGGUCCAUUCCACGGGUUCCGUGCCGUAGCUAACGCUUUAAGUACCCCGCCUGGGGAGUACGGCCGCAAGGCUAAAACUCAAAGGAAUUGACGGGGCCCCGCACAAGCGGCGGAGCAUGCGGAUUAAUUCGAUGCAACGCGUAGAACCUUACCUGGGUUUGACAUGGAUCGGGAGUGCUCAGAGAUGGGUGUGCCUCUUUUGGGGUCGGUUCACAGGUGGUGCAUGGCUGUCGUCAGCUCGUGUCGUGAGAUGUUGGGUUAAGUCCCGCAACGAGCGCAACCCUUGUUCACUGUUGCCAGCACGUUAUGGUGGGGACUCAGUGGAGACCGCCGGGGUCAACUCGGAGGAGGGUGGGGAUGACGUCAAGUCAUCAUGCCCCUUAUGUCCAGGGCUUCACGCAUGCUACAAUGGCUGGUACAGAGAGUGGCGAGCCUGUGAGGGUGAGCGAAUCUCGGAAAGCCGGUCUCAGUUCGGAUUGGGGUCUGCAACUCGACCUCACGAAGUCGGAGUCGCUAGUAAUCGCAGAUCAGCAACGCUGCGGUGAAUACGUUCCCGGGGCU